GGUCCCGUAGCUCAGGUGGAUAGAGCAACAGAUUUCUAAUCUGUGGGUCGGGCGUUCGAGUCGCUCCGGGAUCG
RNAcentral lists this transfer RNA (74 nucleotides) under Oligoflexales bacterium. RNAcentral's name for it is "tRNA-Arg". It matches the Rfam family "tRNA". Rfam says of the family: Transfer RNA (tRNA) molecules are approximately 80 nucleotides in length. Their secondary structure includes four short double-helical elements and three loops (D, anti-codon, and T loops). The record is from RNAcentral. Lineage: Bacteria; Pseudomonadati; Bdellovibrionota; Oligoflexia; Oligoflexales.